RNAcentral lists this ribosomal RNA (653 nucleotides) under uncultured bacterium. RNAcentral's name for it is "bacterial SSU rRNA". It matches the Rfam family "Bacterial small subunit ribosomal RNA", at positions 1 to 655 of the family's 1533-position model. The record is from RNAcentral.
AGAUUAGAGUUUGAUCCUGGCUCAGGAUGAACGCUAGCGGCAGGCCUAACACAUGCAAGUCGAACGGUAACAGGUCUUCGGAUGCUGACGAGUGGCGCACGGGUGCGUAACGCGUAUGCAACCUACCUCUAUCAGGGGGAUAGCCCGAAGAAAUUCGGAUUAAUACCCCAUAGUAUUACGAUCUGGCAUCUGAUUGUAAUUAAAGCUUCGGCGGAUAGAGAUGGGCAUGCGUCCUAUUAGCUAGUUGGCGAGGUAACGGCUCACCAAGGCAACGAUAGGUAGGGGGCCUGAGAGGGUGAUCCCCCACACUGGUACUGAGACACGGACCAGACUCCUACGGGAGGCAGCAGUGAGGAAUAUUGGGCAAUGGAGGCAACUCUGACCCAGCCAUGCCGCGUGCAGGAUGACGGCCCUAUGGGUUGUAAACUGCUUUUAUACAGGAAUAAACCCCCGAACGUGUUCGGGGCUGAAGGUACUGUACGAAUAAGCACCGGCUAACUCCGUGCCAGCAGCCGCGGUAAUACGGAGGGUGCAAGCGUUAUCCGGAUUCAUUGGGUUUAAAGGGUCCGCAGGCGGGGUAUUAAGUCAGUGGUGAAAGCCGGCAGCUCAACUGUCGAAUUGCCAUUGAUACUGGUACUCUUGAGUGUAGUUGA